Molecule: long non-coding RNA, 685 nt
Organism: Gorilla gorilla gorilla (western lowland gorilla)
Lineage: Eukaryota; Metazoa; Chordata; Mammalia; Primates; Hominidae
Exons: 3
Source: RefSeq, a predicted model, not a curated record
GUUUCUAAUCCUUUUUGCAAUUUGAAAAGUGGUUUAUUUGGUCCCUGCAAAUGGAGAACAUCAACCAAAUGGACGAUUUCCAAGAGUAUAUAAUGAGAUGGAAACUGGUCAGAUUGGAGUGUCAGUGACCGUGGAAGCACACACAGAGACGCUGACAUCCUCAGACGGUGGAGCCUCCAUCAGCAACAGUCCCCAGGUGCCGGUGCUGAGCCAAACAGCAGCAGCCCUCCCUGCUGGCCACAGUGGACAUGCAAUAAGGGUGAAAAAUCAUCUUUGUGGUUUUAGGGUGAGGUGGCGUUGCCAAAUCUCAUCCUAGCUUGUCCUGACAGUCUGUCUUGUAAGCUCCAAAAUUUCAUCUGCUGCCAUAACAAUUUUGAGCCUCACAGGACCCCAAAGGCCUAAUUGUGAGUUCCUGGGCUCCCACCAGGUAUGCCCCCACCCAACAGGAAAGUCCCCCCACCCAGCUAGUUCCUCUAUCAGCCAGGCCAGCUGCGCUCCACCUGGUCCCCACCUAAUGGGCUUCAGCUCUCUGCCAACGUGGAGUUAUUCAAACCAAUUACAUCCUUCUGCAGGCACCUCACCCUCUUGUUACGACAAAGCCUUUCUCCCAUGGCCCCUGCUGGUCCUCUCUGCUUUUGAGUGCAGGUUUCAUGUGGCCAUACAUGAAAUGCAGCAUCCUCCUCCC